GUCUACGGCCAUGCUACCCUGAACAAGCCUGAUCCUGUCUGAUCUCAGACGCUAAGCAGGGUCGGGCUGGGUUAGUACUUGAAUGGGAGACCACCUAGGAAGACCAGGUGGUGUAGGCA
RNAcentral lists this ribosomal RNA (119 nucleotides) under Pteropus alecto (black flying fox). Lineage: Eukaryota; Metazoa; Chordata; Mammalia; Chiroptera; Pteropodidae. The record is from RNAcentral.